RNAcentral lists this long non-coding RNA (29745 nucleotides) under Gossypium barbadense (sea-island cotton). RNAcentral describes it as "long non-coding RNA (GBAR_LNC001038)". The record is from RNAcentral. Lineage: Eukaryota; Viridiplantae; Streptophyta; Magnoliopsida; Malvales; Malvaceae.
AGGGUGUCUAUGAAUUCAACAAUCUUGGAGAGGUAGAAGAUGUAUGCCCAGAAAAAGAGAGGGCCCGAUGGGGAUGUACCCCUAGGGAAGCAAACGAGGUUCUUGAAGUUAGGCACCUGGGAGAAGUUGGAAGCGAGGCAACCCAGGGCCAUGGUGAAAGAAAGGGUAAGGAGGAAGAUGUUGUCGACGGUUGUGAUUGAUUUGAAGAGUGGACGUGAAAGUGAAGGGCGAGAUAAUUGGGAGAGAACGAAGGUGAAAGAUGUAACACCCCUUACCCGAGACCGUUUCCGGAGUCGAGCACGAGGCAUUACUUAGCUUAUCUUACCAAUUCGGAGCAUAAAAACUAGGUUUGAAAAUUUAUUUCAUUAUUCGCAGCAAAUCUGUCCAAUCGCGCAGCAGUUACUAAAUUAAUUAUAACUUGAGCUACAGAACUCGAAAUUUAAUUCCGUAAAUUUUCCCUAAAACUAGACUCAUAUAUCUACUCACCACAAAAUUUUUAGAAUUUUUGGUUCAGCAAAUUAGUACAGUUUAUUAGUUAAAGUCUCCCCUGUUUCACCACCUGACUGCCCUGACCUCUAGUCACUAAAAAUAAGUUUUCUCACUGUAGGAUUUUCAUAUGAAGUUCUUACUUGUUUCUACAGAAAAUAGACUCAUUAAGAAAUCUAAGCAUGUAAAUUUAAACUCAUAAACAUUUUUGUACAAUUUUUAAUUAUUUUCUAAACUCAGAACAGGGGACUCCAAAAACAGUUCUGACCCUAUCUUACUAAAAUUCACAUAUCUUAAAAUAUAAAUUUCCUUUUUCUACACCGUUAUUUUUCCAUGAAAAUAGACUCAACAAGCUUUAAUUCCAUAUAUCAUUCACCCUCUAAUUCAUUUUAUACUAUCUUGGGUGAUUUUUAAAAUUCACGUCACUGUGCUGCCUGAAUUCUGUUUCUUUGCAAAAUUUUAUCCUUUCAUGAUUUCCAUGCAUAAUUUAUCACCUAAUCUUUCAUAAUAACAAACACCUUCAUCCUUAAUCAUUUUAAUAAUCAUACAUCAUCAAAUACUUACACAUCACUCAUUAGCAAAAUCAUCAUUACAAACAUACAAAAUAACUAAAUCCCUAUACAUGCCAUAACUCAAACGUGUUUCGAUAUAAAAUACCGAGCAGUUGUAGUUGAUAGUGUGGACGAUCUCCGACUUCUUUAGGAUCCUUGAAGUAGCUUUGCAAUACUAUAAGAGAAAGAGAAAUAAAAGAAGUAAGCAUAAAGCUUAGUAAGUUUACUAGCAAAUAAAUAACAAUAUUUAACUUAAAUAAUUAAACUCAAUGUCUAUAUCUCUAGUUUACUCUUUAGUUAAUCUCAUACUAGUUCUCUUACUUGUUUACUUAGAAUACUUGUGUGCAUAACUUACUCAAUCCUUACUGCAUCGUUGAACAUCAAUUGAUAGAUAAUAAGUUCUUAAGUCUUACAACUUACCUGAGCUUGCCAUUUAUGCUUUAAACUGAACUUUCAUGAACAUGAUUCGUUUACAAGCCCGUUGAGUUACAUUGGAAUAAUAAGGAUACUCGAGUCUCUUCUGAUAAUAACAUGCCAAAGCCAUGUCCCAGACAUGGUAUUACAUGGGAUGUUCUCGUGAUGGUGCCCAUGCCAUGUCCCAGACAUGGUCUUAUAGGGGACCUCUCAUCUCGGUGCCAACGCCAUGUCCCAGACAUGGUCUUACAUGGGACCUCUCGUCUCGGUGCCCAUGCCAUGUCCCAGACAUGGUCUUACAGGGGACCUCUCAUGAUCUUAAGGAUGUCAAUGCCAUGUCCCAGACAUGGUCUUACAUGGGAUCUCUGUAACAACCCGGUUUUGACCCUAAUCAGAAUAGUGGUUUCGGGACCACAAAUCUGAAUCAAAAAAAUAUUUUAAUAUUAUUUUGUGUGUUUAUUUUGUGUGCAUUCGAUGGUGUGAAAUUUUCGUGUUUUAAUUUCGUUGUUUAAGUGUCCGAUUUAAUUAAAGGGCUUAAUCGCAUAAAAUAAAAAUUUGAUGGCUAAGUAUGAAAGUGCUUAAUUAUUUUUAUCUUUAUAAUUUGGAGGUUUCAUGUUGAAAUUUAGCCAAUAUUAAUGGUAGUGGACGGCAAUGAUGGCUAUUAUAUAUAUUAUAUAUAUAUUAAUUAUAAAAGUAAAAUAACAAUGAUAUAAUAUAUUGAAAAUAAUAAAACUUAAAGAUAAAAAAAAAAGCAUGCAUGUUGUCUUUCUCAUUGCCGAAUAUACAAAAGAAAAAGAAGAAAAAAAUAGCAAGCUAGGUUCGGCCCUUAUUUUGCUUGAUUAAGGUAUGUUUUUGCUUCGGUUUUUGAUGAUUUUUACGUUUUUGAGAUCGUUGCUUUGAAUACUUCAAAACCCAUGUCUUAAUUUUGUGAAUUGAUGAAUAUUUUGAAUUAUGCCAUUGAUGAAUAUUUGUGUUUUGGGAUGUUUGAUGAUGAAUAAUGGAAGAUAUGUCUUAGAUUAACAUGUUUUGUAUUGAUAUUUUUGAUGAAUUUGAGUAUUUAGGGCUAAAUUGUGAAAAUAAAUUUUUGAGGGACUAAAAUGUGAAAUAAAUGCAAUGUGUGGACUUGUAUGAGAACCAUGAAUAUUCGGCCCUUGUGUGUUAUGGGCAAAUUUUGUGUAUUUUGUGUUUUGUGCAAAAAGGACUAAAUUGCAAAAAGUGCAAAAUGUUAGGGGCAAAAUGGUAAUUUUCCCAUUUAUGUAUCGUUGGACUCAAAUGAAUGUUUUGAUGAAUAAAAAGGUUAAAUUUGACUAUGUUUAGAUCAAGGAACGAAGAAAACGAAUUUGGAUUGGGGGAAGUCGAAGGUAAUCGAAUAGUCGAUCGUGUUUGCUGUUAUCCGAGGUAAGUCUAUUAGCUAUUUAAUGUCAUAAAAUCAGUAUAUAAAUAAGUAUAUGAGCUGUUUUUGGAUGAAUUAUAAUUAAAAAUAUGAUAGUUGAAAUAAUUAAAAGUAUGAGUGAAUUAUAUAUAUUAUGCAAAUCUACAUCUAUAUGUUCUCGUAUUGAACUUAGGUAUGCCAUUUAUACAAGUUUAUAAGGGGUUCGACUAUGCAACUAUGCAUGUAUAUGUUCUUGUGAUAAAUUUAAGUAUGAAACUUAUAUAUGAAAAAGGGAGAUUCGAUUAGGUAUGUAUGUUCUUGUAAAGGUUCUUGAACGGGGUUGAAGAGAUGAAAUUAUUAGCUUGGAUUAUCUUAAUGUGUUCGAAAGUACGAUAUUAAUAGUAUGCUUCAAUGUGUUAAGUUAUAUAUAUAUAUAUAUAUAUAUUCGGAUGUAUAAUUUAGAUAUUGAGUUGAAUUUGAUGACUGAAUUUUUUAUACCGAUGUGGGUUAAGGAUAUAGUUUAUAAAUUAUUGAGCUGAAUUUUUAUGUGAAUUCUAUAUACCAUUAUGAUAUACAACUCCUAUGAAUUGAGAUUCUUUUGUUAAAGCUCAGUAUCAUUCGGUUUAUCGUUAGUGACAUAAUUCAGACUUUACGUCUAGCAGGCUUAAUGCCGGUGAAAUUAUUCAGACUAUAAGUCUAGCAGGCUUAAUGCCGGUGACACAUUUCAGACUAUAAGUCUAGCAGGCUUAAUGCCGGUGACACAUUUCAGACUAUAAGUCUAGCAGGCUUAAUGCCGGUGACACAUUUCGGACUAUAAGUCUAGCAGGCUAAGAGCCGGUGUAUUGAAUCAGGUUUUAAAACCUAGCAGGCUAAAUGCCGGUGAAUCCGUUUAAAGCAUGUGAUAAUAUACAAUUGAUACCUCUAUGAUUUUGAUUAUAUGAAAUCGAUGUAUACAUAAAUGUUCAAUCACAUGAUUUUAGUCAUAUUAACUUGAUGAGCAUAUAUAUAUAUACAUAUAUUUGGUCUAAGCAAUUGAUAGAUAUGUAUAUAUAUAUGUUGCAUUCGGCAUAGGUGGAUAUAUUUAUGUGUAUGCAUUCGGCAUAGGUGAAAAUAAGUGUAUGUAUCUAUGCAUUCGGCAUAGAUGGGUAUAGGUGCAUAUGUGCAUUCGGCAUUUAUGGAUGAUAAGCAUAAAAAUUUGGCUUUUGAUAUAUGUAGUUGAAUAGUUGUAUUUAAAUGGAUUCGAUGAAGUGCGAACAAUAAGUACUCUAGAAAUCAGUAUAUGCUGUUAAGGAUUAUGCUAGUAACUUGAUUAUAUGCUUAUAAUGUAUAUACAUUUGUCCGUUUAUGUGUAUUAGAUAAAUAUACAUCCUUUUAGACUUAAACAAAAUGACUCAAUAAAGUAGUGUUUGAUUAGUAAUCAUAUUUGAUGAUUGUAAUUUCAAUAAAUUUACUUAAAGAAUUAUAUGAUUCUUUUAUAUGUAUUUUAGAUAUGCUGUAGACUUACUAAGCUAUAAAAGCUUACUUUUUUUGCUUUCGUUCAUUCGUUUUUAUAGAUUUUUUUUUGGAGACGCGUUACGAGCUCGGGGAUCAUCAGCACCGCCCAUCACACUAUCGACUUCUUUUGGUAUUUUGUUAAAUAUUUGAACUCGAUCUUAUGGCAUGUAUAGGCUUGAUAAUGUUUUGGAUAAUUUUGAAUCCUAUUGUGUAAAUAGCAAUGCGAAAAGAGUUUAACUUCCAUGCUUGAAUUUGAUUAUAUAUGUUCAUGAAUUGGACUUGCAUUUGGAAUUAGAUAUUAAAGUUAUGUUUAUGUGAGCUUGGUUUCGUAAUGCCUCGUAACCCUGAUUCGGCGGCGGAGACGGGUUAGGGGUGUUACAAUCUCUUUACCCAAAUGUCAUGACAUUCGUAUCCAGUACCAUCCUUAUGUAUCAACGGGACUUUUAAAUUUUAAUUCUCUAUCAUUUCAUGCUUGGAUCAUCAUCAAAUAAAUUCAUAAAAUAAAUUCAUAAUUGCUGGAAAUUAACAGCAUUAAUAAUAAAUAUUGAAAUAUUGCAUUUAUUUACCGUAAACUUACCUCGGUACCAAUUAUAGCCAAAUUCACCAACUUAGUCUUCAACUUUAUUCUUCCCUUUGUCUAACCUCGAGUUUCGUACUUCUUGAUCUAAAAUAGUAAAUUUAACUUAUUUAAUAAUCACAUUCAUCAAAACAGCCCUCGACUCUAACUUUUUCAAAAUUACAAUUUUGCCCCUAAACUUUUACAUAAUUACAUUUUUGCCCCAAGGCUCGGAAAUUAAACUUCAUCUCUUAUUCUUAUGUUUUAUAACAUUCUGAACAUUUUUCCCUUCUAUGGCAACAUCAAAUUCCCACUCUAACAUGUACUUAUGAACAUUAGGUAUUUUUACCGAUUAUGUCGUUUUACUCGUUUUCACUUAAAAUCGCUUAGCAAAAGUUGUUUAACAUAAUUUAUAGCUUCAUAUUCUAUCAUAAAACAUCAAAAUAAACACUUUUCACCUAUGGGUAUUUUUCCAUAAACCCUAGGUUAAAUUAUUGCUAGAAUAAGCUAAAUUAAGCUACCGGGAUCUCAAAAACGUAAAGAAUAUUAAAAACGGGGCUUGGGAUCACUUACUAUGGAGCUUGGAAGCUUGAAAACCCUAACUAUGGCUUCCCCCCUUGCUUAUUUCGUUCAUAUGAAGAAGAUGAUGAUUUUUGCCAUCUUUUUCCCUUUUAAUUCAUUUUAAUUACUAGAUUACCAAAUUGCCCCUAACUUAAAAAUUUUCUAUUUCACUUAUCUCAUGUCCAUUUUUGUCUACCAAGUUACCAAUGGUAUAAUUACCAUAUAAGGACCUCCAAUUUAAAGUUUCAUAACAAUUGGACACCUCUAACAUGUAGAACUCAACUUUUGCACUUUUUACAAUUUAGUCCUUUUGACUAAAUUGAGUGCCCAAACGUCGAAAUUUUCGAACGAAAUUUUCAAAAAAUCAUUUUGUGAAAUUUUAGACCAUAAAAAUAUAAGAAAAAUAAAAUUUUUCUCAUCGGAUUUGUGGUUCCGAAACCACUGUUCCGAUAACCUGAAAUUUGGGCCAUUACAAAAGAGAUGUAAGACAAGACAGUGAGGGUGAGGAAGAGAUGAGAGAAGCUGGUGUUUGGCCAUUUUCCCAUGAAAACUGGAGGAUUUUGGGAUGCUUCACUAGCCAAUCCUCCAAGGUUGAGAACAAGGCUUGUUGCACCACCAAGUCUUUGAUACAGGAGAAAAGGGUUGGGAAAAAGGGCACUUCCAUCUUGCUGCUGCCUUUACUACUCUAGUACUACUCAGUUAAAAAAGCUGCAGCAAAAAGGAGAAGGGGGGAUUGCCUUUAUAAGCACUGAAAAGUUACUUAUGAUCCAAUUUUUUCUCAACUGCCUACUGGUACUGGAUAUCAUUGAUCCAUCCACUGCAUUCCUGUUUAUGGUUAUUCAUUUAUGGAUAAUGGUCCGCCAGUAAUGAAAUCAUUUAUGGAUAGGGGGUAAUUAGCCUACCCCUCUUGUAACUUGUAAGUAAAUAGAUUUUUGGGUAAAUUAAACUGUUGCUUAAUUAUCUAAUUAUUAGUAAAUUUGUUACAAAAUUAAUACCUAACUAUUACUGAAAUUUUUUGUCACCUAAUUAUAAAAAGUUAUAAAAUGGUCACUCAACUAUUAAAUUUCAAUGUAACACCUUCAUACUCGACCUGAAUAUCGAGUCAAAGUACUGGGAUGCUACAUUCAUUGUCGAAGCAACUUUGAUGAUUUCAUGUCAAUUAAUCAUUAUAAAACUCAAAUUAUAUCAAAACACUUGCAAUAACUUGUGUACAUGUCAUAUUCUAUAACCAAAAUAUCAAAUUCGUACUCUCUUCAAGCCUUGGUGAUGAGAUGAGAUGCGUGGAAAUCCCAACCCGAAUCUAGAGCUUCAAUUCGAUCUUCCAUCUAUGUGUUUAAAACACACAUUAUGCUUGUAAAAACUUAGAAAGUACCCAAGAAUCCAAAUUUCAAGUUUUUUUUACCUUGAAUUCUAUAUAUAAAAAUUUACCAUAAUUCACUACUUUUAUAUUUUCAUGGAUUGGUAUGAACAAAGCUUUUACCAAAUUAAUUCACUACAUUAUCACUUACUUCAUUAUCACUUACCAGUUUAACAAAAUUUGUUAUCAAAAUCCUUUACUUGUCAUCUCACUAUGUAAUAGGAAAUUUUUAUAAGAAUUUGUUUAUCAUAUAACUCUUUAUUUUGUUUAGAUUAAUUAGAGUUCCAUUAGAUUAUUAAUUGAAUUUAUUGUGAUUUAUGUCUCAAAGGGUUCAAUUGUACACUUAUCCAUCUAGGCAUUAUAUCAAUUGAUUUUUUCAAUCAACCUUCCACUUUUUAAUUUUCGUUUUAUUUAUUUAUUGUUUUAAAUCUUUAUUCUUUGUUCUUAAUUUUUUUCUUUAUUAUUAUUUUUAAAUAUGUUUGGUUUCUUCUUUUCAAGUCAUUCUUGAAUUUUUUAGUUAGAACAACUCAAACACAAUCUUCUUUCACUGCUCCUUUAUUAAGAAUAAAACAUAUUUCAUGGCUAAUAAUUUACCUAUUCGAAAAGCACCCGAAAAGAUUAAUCACUACUACUAACAGUAGAUAUAUCCUGAUUACGAAAAAAAGAAAAGAUAAAAUACAAUUUUACGUUAUAAAAAGUUGUUAUGAUUUUAUAAAAAUAUGGCAUGAAUCAUGUCAAAUCAUAUAAAUGAAAUAUACCUAUAAUAAUUCAUGCCCAAUUUAAAUAUAGAAUGAGCACCAAUAACUUUUUCACGUGCAACAAUAAAUAUUGAGAAUAACAAAAGAGCAAGAAAAUUGGAAAGAUAAAUGCUUUAUCUAAAGUCUAAACUUCAAACAAUAAAAUCCUGACUUUUCCCUUGCAUGGAAUUAUGGAUAUAUAUUUGUAUAAUAUUAGUAAAUAGUUUUUUUUUUAUGUUAGAAUACGAUGAGGACUAGAAAAAAAUUAUACUCUCAAUUCAAAUUUAAACCAUUAAAAAAUAAAAAUAAAAAGUUUUAGACUCGAGCUUGACAUUAAAAAAACAAAGAAAUAAAUAAAUAAAAACUAAUAAUUUAUUCAAAAAUAGCAUGUAAACACGUGUAUCCAUUUAAAAAACUAACCUCUUAGGAGAGAAAAAAAAUAAAAAUUAAGAUAAAAUUACAAUCAAACGAGAAUUAGGACAAAAUAAUAAGAUGUAACAAAACAAAUUAUUUAUACAAAAAACUUGUAACUGAAAAGCUAAUUAAUAUAUCAAAUAUUCUUAAUAACAAAUAUUACCAUGUACAAAAUGUGUAACUGAAAUUAAAGUUGAAUUGAAAAUUUAUUAACUUUUUUUAUAAUAAUAUAUUUAAUAAAACUAAAUAAACUAAUCAAUUUAAAUUUAGAAGAAAACAAAAGUAAUACAUUGGUAGUGUAUUUUUUUUAUUUCACAAACAACUUUAAAAUUUUGUUAUGUGGCUUUUUUUUUAAAUAUUUUACUCUAUCUUUAUAACUUGUUAGCCCUCUAACUUUACUUGUGAAUUAAGAUUAAAAACAUCACUGAUAGCGUAUAUCAAAUAUUUUCUCAUAUUUUAAUUAUAAAAAAUAAUAUAAAACUAAAUAAUCCUAAUGACAAUCAAUAUGCAAUUGAAGUUAAUUAAUAUUUAUUAAAUUUCAACUCAUUUUAAUUUACAUUUUAUUAUUUUAAUAUGAAAAUAAAAUAUUAAUAUAAGAAAUGCAUCCUAUUUUAACACUUUGAUUUUGAAUAAAAGUUAGAACAAUUCUAUUUUUAUAAUUCAUAUAAAUAUUAAAAUUAUUUGGGAUUUUAAUAUAUUAAAAUUACCAAAUUAAAGAUUAAUAUUUAAAUUUAAUUAAGUUAAAACAUUAAUUUUUUAUUUUAAUAUUAAAUCUGUCUCUCUUUUUUUUUUACCUUUUAAAUAUAUUUUCUAAUUUAAAAUCAUAUAGAAAUUUUAUUAAAUAAAAUUUAAAUUCAAAUUGGAUCAAAUUUAAAAAUUCAAGUCCUUCAUAUUAUGCAAACUAAAAUUAAUAGGGAUUUAUCUAAUGUUGAAUUGAAGUCAUCUAUCGGAUUUGAUGAAGAAAAACACGAUGAAUUAAUUUAUCUUGAUUUUUUACUUUUUAUAAUACAAAUCAUAAUUGAUGGAGGCUAUAAUUUUUUCAUUAAUUUUGUGUGUAACCUUAAGUAAACCCCAAGCAACAGAGGUUAUAAUUUUUUAUUAAUUUUGUGUGCAACCCUAAACAAACCCUAAGUAAUGAAGGUUAUGAAAUUUUAAAAUAAUAAUAAUAAAUAAUAAAUAAUUAUCAUUAUAAAUUAUAAUUACAAUAUUAAUUAAAAAAUAACAAAGUAAUAUUAUAAAUCUGAUAAGUUUAAAGCUUUCAUAUUAAAAAAAUAUAAUAAUAUGAUUGUGGUCAAAGUAAAUUUCAUUUUCAGUAAUAUCUCUUCAAACAAUUCUAACUUAUUAAUCUCUACUUUUUUUUUAAUAAUUUUUUUAGAUGGUACUUGAUUUCACCAUAAGCAUUAUAAUUUUAAAAACUUCAAUUUCAUUUGAUUUGAUUUUCAUAUAAAAUUUUAAUAAAUAUAUAUUUUUAUAUAAAUCUUUUUCGUGUGUCAUAACUACAUUUUGAAUGUUUUAUAAUUUAAUAUGAAGAAAAAUAAUUCAUUUGGUUGACCUAUUGUCUCUAUCAAUUUCAUAGUCAAUUACUUUAUUUUAUUCCCAAUUAACUUCAAUUGAUUAAAACUAAUCCGUAGAAACAAUACAUGUGAUAAAGUAGUGUCUUAGGUUUACAUCAUUUGCAUAAUUGAUUGUUGACCUUAUGACCAAAUUAGUUUGAAAUAUUGGACUGUCAUUUGAUGCCCUACUCUCAAAAUUUUUUUGUUACCAAAUUUAUUUUAUGUUGUGUAUAUAUAUGACACUGGAUUUUCUUAAUAUUCUCUAAGAAAAAAAAAACUUAGAUAUGACGUUAAAUUGGAAUUUAAUGGAUGAAUCAUGAGGUGUUUGUUCCAAAUCUUACCAGACAUAAAAUAUUGGUGUAAUGAAAACGACAAAAGCAUGCAAUAUCUUAAAUAAUAUAUAUGACGAUAAAAGGGACAAGUUAAUUUUUGAUGAGGUCCUGUCAAACUUAUUAACUCACCUGCUUACCAUAUUUAAUGUUGACUGCGACAACAAUUUCUAUGUCAGCCUUCAUUUAUUUAUCUCAUCAACUUUUUUUUUUUUUUCACUUCACGGUCGUUCCAUUUUCUUCAUCGUCAGAAACGAUAAUACAAUAUAAUUGCAUGCAGCAGGAACUGUUUAAUCAUGCAUUUACAGUAAAAACAUAAAAUAUAAAUUAACAAUGAAUCUCUUCAAUUAAUUGAUAUUAAGAUACAUAUGCACACCGAAGAAUUGAAAUCGUAAAAGGAAUUUAUGACAAUUAUGUUCAUUUUUUUCUUCAACUGAUCAAUCACUCUGAAACAAUAACUACAUAUAAAAAUGAAAACGAAAUGAAAACAAAAGGUAGUUUAAUUAAUUAUUAGUUACCCUUGAAGACCUUGGCAUUGGUGGAGUAACUCUUGGCAUGAAAGUCUGAGAACAAGUAGAGAAGAGAGGCGAUGAAGGCUGCAUUGAAACACCAACUCAGAAUCCCAGAGCAGCCAGAAGCUGUGAAGUGGUAGAACACAAGCAUGGCCAUGAUCAAAAAGCUUAACCAGAACUGCACUAGUUGAAAAUCCGUCACCAUUUUUUUCCACUUAGGGUGCAUCCCCAGGGUGCACAACAGGUAAUAGGUGUACAUUACGACAUGCACCACGCAGUUGGUGACCAGCACCAUGGGUACGGAGGACUGAGCACUGUCUAAGCAAAUAUAACACAUGAUGACCACCAUGGAGUGAUGGUAAACGUGAAGGAAGGAUAGCCUCUUCAUGGAUCCGCUGAGGAUGAUCAAAAGGGUGUCCAUGAAUUCAACAAUCUUGGAGAGGUAGAAGAUGUAUGCCCAGAAAAAGAUAGGGCCCGAUGGGGAUGUACCCCUGGGGAAGCAAACGAGGGUGUUGAAGUUAGGCACCUGGGAGAAGAUGGAAACGAGGCAACCCAGGGCCAUGAUGAAAGAAAGGGUAAGGAGGAAGAUGUUGUGGACGGCUGCGAUUGAUUUGAGGAGUGGACGUGAAAGUGAUGGGCGAGAUAGUUGGGAGAGAACGAAGGUGAAAGAGAUGUAAGACAAGACAGUGAGGGUGAGGAAGCGGUGAGAGGAGGCUGGUGUUUGGCCACUUUCCCAUGAAAACUGGAGGAUUUUGGGAUGCUUCACUAGCCAAUCCUCCAAGGUUGAGAACAAGGCUUGUUGCACCACCAAGUCUUUGAUACAGGAGAAAAGGGUUGGGAAAAAGGGGACUUCCAUCUUGCUGCUGCCUGUACUACGUCAAUCAAUAAAGCUGCAGGAAAAAGGAGUGGGGAUUGCCUUUUUAAGCACUGAAAAGUUACUUAUGAUCCAAUUUUUUCUCUACCUCAACUGCCUACUGGUAGUAGAUAUCAUUGAUCCAUCAACUUGCCACUGCAUUCAUGUUUAUGAUUGUUUUCAUUUAUGGAUAAAGGUCCGCCAGUAAUGAUUUCAUUACUGCCUAUAGGGGGGUAAUUAGCCCCUCUAGUAACUCGUAAGUAUAUAGAUUUUUGUAUAAACUAAACUAAUAGUAACUCAAUUAUUAGUAAGUUAUUUUUAUUUUGUCACUUAUUAAUGAAAAGUUAUAAAAUGGUCUCUCAACUAUUUAAUUUUAUCUCCUUUUUUUUUAUUACCAACAAGGUAACUGUGGCAACUUUUAAAAUUUAUAUAAUAACAAUUUUAACCUUCAUGAUUUAUUCAUUAUGUCAAUUUUGUCUUAACUUUAGAAAAUUUAACUAUUAAAAUUUACACAUUGUGUAAUUUAGUCUUAUAAUUUUGCUCUUCUUUAUGUCCCUUUCAACUAAAAUGUUAAAAAAACACAUUUAUCAAGUAAAUUUGAUUGAAAAUAUACAAACAGAAAAAAGAAACACUCAAAAAUCUAAAAUAAUAAUUUUAAACUUUUCUUGUUAUUUUAAAAAUAACACUAAAUGUCGCAAAGAAAAUAAAGUGCAAAAAAAAAAAGAGACCUAAUUCAUAAUGUGGAUUUGUUGAGGGUUAAAUUCAUUUUAGAAUCAAGACUAAAUUGACAUAUUUUAUAAAUGUUGAUGAUUAAAGUUAUUAUUAAUUAUGUAAAAUUUAAAGUUUUCACUAUUAGUUAGAUGGUAAAAAGAAUAGUUGAGUAACUAUUUCAUUGAGCAACUAAAAAAUAUACUAAUAUUUGACUAAACAUUUUAUAAUUAUUGAGUAACAAAAAUAUAUUCCAAGCCAUUGCUAGUGUAGUUUAGCUAGAUUUUUUAUUCAUUAACACCUACCGUAAGUCUCAGCUAGUAGAGACAAUUUUACACAAUUGAGUUCGUUCGGUCAAAACAACUCAACUUGGUUAGAUUAUUGUCAAAUUUAGUUUCAUAAUAAUUAAUUUAAGUAUUUUAUGUGUUUUAAAAUUUAAAAUCCCUUCUAAAAAUUCGAAUUAAGCAUUAAUAAUUAAUUAUAAAGUUGAAUAUUAGAAUAUAUAUAUUUAUACAUACAAAUACACUAUAGCUCAACUUAUACAUCUAAAUGUCUUCAACUUAUACACUGUAAUUACAUCAAACAAUCUAAAACGUAUCAAUGUUGUAUAAAUUAAAAUUUUUCAUUACUCUUGUCAUUUGUUUGAGAGUUAAAUGUUAUUUCAAAUCUAAUAUGAAUUUAUUUAAAAUACGUGAGUGAAACUAUAAAUAUGUGUGUACCUAUUACAUGAAUAAUUUGAAGACAUGUUAAUAAAAAAAUACCCCUUCUAACAUUGUUUGUUGUUUUAACAAACUAGAUCUAGAUCCAAGCUAUCCAUAUGAUAGGUACACAAGUGUACUUAGAACCUACCAAUCAGCAAGGUACCACCACUUCUCUUGGUUGUGCUCCAUUAGCGUUGUGAGCAUAAUACCAAUAUCGUCCUCUUUAGGCAUCACUAACACGUUAAGAUUUUGUAACUUUAAGAUGCAUCUCUUUAAGUUUAAACUCACGAUCUCUCUAUGUAGGAGACCUUUUUGCAACCAUGGCAUGUCCCAUUGAUCUGGCUUUAAAAGGCGCCUUUUUAUGUCUUGAUCCGUCGACCAACAUGUACUAAUACUUCACUGCGUCGGAUUACUCUAGCGUCAUGGCAUAAUACAAAUGCUGCUGUCCUCUUCAGGUGUCCGCCGAUCCUCCAAGAAUAGCUCACCCGAAGGUAUGCCACUUCGGAUUUGAAAUUAGAACUUUCGAGUCAUGUUCUCAAUUAUGGCACCAUUUGAUCUAACCUAGGUAAUGGAAAACACUCAUAAGUAGGAGGUCUUUGUUUCAAACUUAGGAGGCGCAUCUUCGGGUGACAAAACUUUGCUGAUAGGCACCCAAAUAGGAUAAUAAUAUUGGUAUUAUGUCACUAGUGUGACGCAGCUUAAGUAAGUGAUCAUAGUACCUUAACGAUUGACAGGUCGUGACAUAUAUUUUUUAUUUGAUCCACAAAAAAAUUCGACAUAAAAUUGAAUUUGAUAUUUAAUACAUAAUUUAAAUACACAAUUAAAAAUUAAAAAUUUAGAAUUUUGUUACGAUUCAAACCACUAUUAAUUACAUCAAAUAUAUUUGGAGUAACAGUGUUUUUAUAAAUGGGUUAUUCAUGAUUUUGACACUUCUCAAUCAGUCAAGGUAUAAAAUCAAAAUUACAGAAUAUAUAUCACUAUUUUAAUCGGUUAGAUAUCCCUGCCACAUUUAAUGUUUUUUUCUUUCAUUUCAUUAUCAAAAUAAAAGAUAUGUCCGAUUGAAAGCCUAACCAUACAUCUAUAUUAUUAAACGCAAAGGUUGUAGAGUUAAGUUUAAAAGGGUUUACAGUGUUCUUAAUUUCGCUUUACUACUAGGAUUUUUUGAAAAGUAUGAUUUGGAGGGUAAAAUAUAUUAAGAGUUCUCCUUUUUACUUUUUUUUAGUACUAAUGGUUUUUCUCUCUCUUGUUGAUUAAAUUGUGCACUUGCACUUAAGUUUGCAAGUAGUACUUUUCUUUCUGAAAUGAGUUUUACAAAACUAUUAUUAUAUUCACUAUCUUCAUAACUUCUCCCCCAUUACUCACUAUAAGUAACAUAAACUUGAUUUCAUUCACUUUACCCAUUAUUCUUAAAACAUUCUUGUGAAUUAACCUAUAUCUCUCCCACAUCCUAUCAAAUAUGCCACUUGUUUCAUUUGAGGGGACUUUUGAAUCGUAUGGCAAACUUGAGUGCUUUAAAAAUUCUCUCUAUAACUUUCUUUCUACAAUCAUAAUAACACCGUAGCUCUCAUCUUUUUCAGCCCCUAAUUGUUUCCAUCACCACUACCUGCUACUACACUUGUUUGUUAGAAUGUGGAGAUAAAAAUAAGUUUAUGAGAAAUUAACAAAGGCUUCAAGGCGUGUAAUAAUGCCAUUAUCUUUAAGGUUCUAUUCGCCGCUACCUAUAUUUUGGUGUGCAAAAGAGAUAUUAGUAAAUAAAACUCGAGGAUACAAUGAAGUACAAUAAUUGUCUACGUUUUGCAGUAAUAGAAAUAGUCCGUUGAGCAUUGAGCAGAAUAUGAGAAGGAUAAUCAAUUUUUAUAAAGAAUUUUUACAGUAAUUCUUUAUAUAGCAAUCUAGAAAUAUAAAAGAUGGUGGGAAAAUAGAAAAAAAAAUUGUUUCAAUGCUUUUGGGUGUUUCGUACCAAUGAAAUUCUACUCCUAUUUAUAGGAGAUCUCAUGUCUCUUCAUAGGAAUAAAAUUACCUAAAUGGAUGGUCAUAUAUUUAGCAAUGAAUAUAAUUAUUCAACUAGAUAGUAUGUGUUAAUAAUCAAGUAACGUAAUUAUUGAAUUUAAGAAACAUAACUAAUCACUAUAAAUAAUGACAACAUUUGAUUAAUAACUAAGUGACAUAACUUUUAGUUAUUUAUAGUAUCUUAUUUAUAAUUAUUAGAACACUAUAAAUAUUUUAAAAAUGUUCCAACAUUAACUGUUUUCCAGAGUUUGAUCCAAUCUUCCAUUAUAUGUAAUGUUUCCUCCAUUAACCAAAAGAAUCCUUUACAAUAUGGAACAUCAUUGCUGUGUAUUUGUCAUACAUGCUAGAAUCGUUUUGUCCAAAAAAUUUUGGAUUAGUUCUUACAUUAUUUUCAGGAUUUUAAAUAGCAGUUGAGAAGACUAGGUAAUGUUGAAUAUCAAUCAAACACACAUUAUGUGUAUAGAAAUUUAUUGUUUGAAGAUUUGAAGAUUUGAAGCAUAUUUAAAAAAAAAAGUGAUUUAGUUAAUGUAUAAAAAUAAUAAGUUGAGUUUAAAUUCUACCCUACACUUUAAAUAAUGUCCCCAACUGCAUAACAAUCACGAAUUUCUUUAUUCAUACCUAUUUUACUUUUUUAAUCAAACGUGCAUUUCACACGCAAUUUCAACUUGUUCUUUUUCUAAUCAAACAUAAAUUAAAAAAAAAAAAACCCAAAACAAAAAAGGAAGUCCGGAACUGGCAACGUAAUAAUAAUAUUGGUAUAUAUAGAGAAGCUAUCAAACAGUUGGGACUUGAAACCGUAAAAUAAAUACUUUGUCGGGAAAAAGCUGAAAAAAAAUGAAUGUUUCGCUUGCCCUUUGUCAUAACUCAUAGUGAUGUAAUUGCUCCACUCUCAUUAAAAAAAAAAACGUAGUGAAAUUUAUCAAAUGGUUUAAGAUCUUAAAAAAAUAUACAUAAAUAGGAAGAUUGAGUUGACAGACGGGAAAUAUAGGUCCAAUAUGUAAUAUGUUUGUUAUAUUAUAAUGGUACUUUAAUAAAAUAUAUAAAAUGUUAGGUGUAGUAUGAAUGAAAAGAGAAAGGAGGGAUAGUUCUUGCCCCCAACAGUGUUGUUAAGUUAGGUUUUAAAUAAUUAAUUUAAAGAUGAGGGAGGAAGAGAAGCUCAGCCUCCGUCUCCGUCUGCACAUAUUCCAACCAAUGAAGAAAUUCUGAAUGAUGUCGGCCAAGGGAAGGAUAGCAUGCAGCGAAGAGCAUGUGGCCCUUUACCCUACAUUAUCUACUAAUAUACGACAUUACAUUUAUAGUUGCUGAAAAACACACAAGUAAUUAAGAUGCCAUUGCCUUCAAGUGCCAACUAUAUAGCUGCCUUUGACCACACCACUUCAUGUUCCUUCCAUCUCUAUACUACGUUGCUUGCUUUGCCUCUUGGAGAAUGAUACAUUUGCAGGUGAUCCGCAAAAACAACGUCCGCACCUUUCAACUAGCAGCUAUAUAUUAAUUAAAUGGAAAACGAAGAAGAUUCAAAAACAUGGUAUAUCGACGUCGAAACUAACCACCAUUCACAAAUAUAAAAUUAAAUGCUAUAUAAAGACUGCAUGCGCAAGUGGAGCAGAACUGGCCCUUCCCUACUGUCCAUACCCUGGCCUGCUGAAAGUCACUGAAAAUAAUGCCUAAUGGUGGUGGAUCCCCAGCCACUCUGUAAUUUAUAAUUAUAAUGAGAUGCUUGGAGGUGAAUGGGGAGAUUCAUAAGAUGAUAAACAGCUAAUGCUUCCAAUCCACCGAUUAGUCUACCCUAAUUUAAAAUACAAUAUCAUUCUCCCAUGUAAGUUUUUCAGAUACCCAUCUAUGAGCGAUAUAAAAUCUGCACCAAGUUUUCGCUUAUUUGAUCUGCACCGUCCAUUGUGAUUGUUGCACUUAAUCAUAUCCCUACAAACUUAGGAAUUACUCAAUUAAUGCUCACGUAAUUAUAUCUAAUCGCCUUGCAUGGCAUAUCAACUAACUUCAUUCAAUUUGCUAAAUGUCAACAUUAAUUGCACUGGCUUGUAACAUAAAAUUAGAAAUUGAGAGUCGGACAAUUUCAAACCCAACAACAAACAGUGUAUUUGGAUGCAAUGCUAAUCCUUUUUACGUUGUCGAUCGACAUCCAACUUUCACUUUUGCAGUGAAGACAUUGAGUUAUUGUCUUGUCAUACAAGUCUCUAAUUUCAAUACCAGCCGCCGACACAAGUACUGUAGACAAGAGGAGUUGCUUGUUGUUUACUAUAUACUACUCCAUUGCUUCCUGCCUAUUUCAUCACCUCAAGCAACUUCAGCUUAGAAUUAUUGGAUAAUAACGACUGUUCAAAUGAAGAUAUAGCGGAUGGAUGCGUCUGUGAAAUGUCAAUGUUUUAGACGGGGGCCGGGACAUGAAUUAGAAAGCAAGCCCAACAACUGAAACCUCAAUCUUCAUUUGUUUCGGGGCUUUAAACUUAGGCAAAAAAUCAUGGGCGGUCUUUGAUCGAAAAUAGCCAGAUCUGUACGUACCUCUUCGUUUGAUUUGGGUGUUACAACGGUCACCCAAAUAAAGUCCAAUGUGCUGAUCAACCUUUUUCCAAAAUCAUACACCUAAAAGUUUAAAUUAUUCAUAACCAUCGAAAGCUUUACUAUUGGCCAUGGAAUUUUUUAUAAAGGCAACAGUGUUGAGGCUUGACUAUAUGAAAAGCGCAUGGCCCUACUUUUCACUAUCUUAAGAUUCCUCCUAUCCUCCGUUGAUUUUCAGAUGAGGAAAGCCAUCCAAUCCCUACACUAUCCGCAACCCUUAGCUAAUUUUGUUGGGAAAAAAGAAAUAAAUAUAUAUAUUUUAUUUUAAUCCUUGUGAGAAGGCAACAUUUUAAAGAUAAUUUAAUCAUGGAUUAUUAUUUAAAAUAAAAUAAAAUUUAAAAUUCAUCCAUGAUUCUUAAACUCUAUCUAAAAUAUUCUCUCUCUAUAUUUUUAAUAUUUUCCAUGUAUAUUAUAUUAUCUAUAUUUAAAAUUCAUAGUUAUCUUUCAACAAUAUCAUUUCUAAAAUACGAAUUUAUAAACAAACCAUUUACUUUUAUUAUCUUUAGAAUAAUUCAACCUAGUUAAAUUUGGGGUUUUACAAUUAAUUUUAAUUGUAAUUUUGAGCAGACAUGGCAUAUAGGAAUAAAGUAGACAUCUUUUAUUCCACUAACUGGUUUUGUUUCUCAUUCUAACAUUAUUUGGCAGCUAGAUCUGUGCUUGUGUUCACACCAAGAUCCCCUCCAAAAAAAAAUAAAAUAUGGAAGCUCUACUCUCUGAAUUCACCUUCCUCUCAGAUCAAGCAUUACAAGACAAGAACUUUGAUCCAUCCACCAUAGAAGACCUAAUGAAGCUGUUUGAGAUUGAAUCAUACAAGGCAUGGGCAGCUAUGGAGCUUGAACAAGAAGAGGAAGUGAAAGAAGCUGAAACAAGCAUGCAGCAAGCUGAGGGUUAUCUUGACUCAGUCAUGGAAGCUGCGAUGGAUGAGUUUAGGCGGUUGGAGGAGGAAAUGGAACGCAUGGCAAAGGCUGAACUGAAGGACCUGGAAGACACAGCCGACAAGGCUAGAAAAAUGGGAAACCUGAUGGAAAAAGCUGCCGCUAUCGCCUCCAAAAAGUACGUUGAGGCUGCACUUAAUUCUGCUACUGCUUCUAUGAAAUCUGCUUGGAAAGGACUUUCUUCUAAAAAGGUUCAUCCUUCAUGAAAUGAAGCUCUAGUUGUAUCUUACAUAUAAUAUAAUUGAAAUACCCCUUGUUCUGGGUUUUCUUUCUUUCAUUUCACUGUAUGUUUUUCAUAAAAAGUAAUUAAAAUCCAUGAACUGGAUCUGGAUUUCUCCAGGAAUAAGAAAACUGGCAGGCAACAUGAGGCUUAGAAAGCUAUUUCCUUCAUUGUUUUUUGACUUGAAUUACUUGAUGAACUAGGCUAAUGUCACUCACAGAUUCUUCCAAUGUCUUAAUUAAAAGCAGCAAAAAGGGGGUUUGGAUACAGUACUGUAUCUAUAUUCCCCUGUGCUUAAUUAAUACUACAUACUGUUUCUUCAGUAUUCAGAUUAGAUCUUUUGAAUUGAUUAUAUCCUAAUGGUUGUUACUCUAUGAUUAUGGAAUGCUGUUGCAGAACCAGUAAUCCUCCAUUGAAAUCCAAACACCAACCCAAUGUCCGAUUAAGAGUUGAUUGAACCCAUUCUCAUAUCCUUUAAGCAACACAAUUGAGGAUACUUUUUUUUUGGCUUUUCCAACUAUUUGGAUGCUUUUAUUUUGCUCAUUAAUUAAAUGAUAGUUUGCAGGGAUAACUUCCAUUUCUUCAUUAAUUAAACGAUAGUUUUCAGGGAUUACUUCCAUUUCUUCCUAAACUUUAUGCUUUAUACGCACACCCCCUAUACACACUAUACAGCUGAAAGAAAAUAUAUGUAUAGAAAUAAAUUAAUGGUCUUUUUUUUGAAGAAAUUGUUGGAUAAUUUGCUGUCAUGUAAUCAAUUGUGUUAAGAAUGGAUGAAGCUAAGGGAUCUAAUAAUCAUGCAUGAAAGUAUUUAUGUAAUAUGCAUGUAUGUACUAGAUACACAUUAAUUAUUAGAUGCAUAUAUUAAAACUAAUAAUCACAAACAACAACUAUAUAUAUAAAGGUUGUAAGAGAUGAAGCCAUUACAAGAAAGUACAAAAGUAAGAGAUAAAAAAAUUAUGACAUGAGAAAAGUAUCCAUUCCAUGUUUAGUGUUUCUUCCUUUCACCAACUCUAGAAUCCUCUCCAACUAAGAAGUAUCAAUAGCUAGAGGUCCUUACAAUGUGAGUGUGAGUGAAAAUAAAAUUAAUCAUGACUUCUACAAGCACAAUCUCCAAUAAUGUUCAAAUUCCUAUCAUCGACGGCGAAAAUUAUGAUUUUUGAACAGUCAAAAUAGAGGCAUUAUUCACUUCCUUGAAUGUCUUGGAAUAGUCAAGGAGGGCUAUCAAGAUCCAGAAGAUGAAGAACAACUUGAAGAAUUAAAGAAUGAGAAGAUUACAAAUGUCAGAGUUCUUAGGAUGAUCUAAAGAGGAGUAACGGAUGUCAUAUUUCUCACAAUUAUGAAAGAAAAAAGAAAACUAAAGAAGCAUGAAAUAUUCUACAACAAUAAUUCAAAGGAGACAUAAAAAUGAGAGCAGUUAAACUUCAAUAUCUCAAAAUCUCAAUGAAAAAAUGAAAGAGCAUGAAAGCAUAAAUAAGUAUCAUAAUAGAUUGUCCAAGUUGGUGAAUCAAAUGAAGGCACAUGAAGACAUUAUUGAUGAUAGUAGAGUUGUUGAUAAAAAUCUAAUCAGCUUGACAAAAAAUUGAUCCUCUGGUGGUAGUUAAUGAAGAAACUAGGGAUUUGUCAAUCAUGACUAUUUAAGGGUUGAUAGGUACGGUUUACUAAGAUCCUAUGAGCAAAGAUUGUUACGUCAUUUAGAUAAAUCUGUUGAGAGCAUGUUUCAAUCCAAGCUUACUAUUGAAUUCAAGAAUGGUGAGAAAUCUUUAAUAUAAAACAAAGGCGAACCUUCUAGAGGUGGUAGAUUUGGAAGAGGUUGAGACAGAGGAAGAAAUUCACGUGGACGAGGUAGAAACAAUAAUAAUGGUGGACGAGACAAUGAUAGUGGAUCCAGUAAAUGAUGUGGAAUUUAUAAAAAAAAAUAGCCAUGAAGAGAAGGAUUAUUGGAAUAGAGGCAAACCACAAUGCUACUAUUGCAAGAAGUUCGGACAUGUGCAAAAAGACCGUUUGUCUUAGUAAUCAACAGCAACAUUUACCGAAGAAGGAAAGAAUGAUAAGAAUCUGUUCUUUGCUUGCCAUAAGGCAUUUGAAGAGCAAAAGAACAUAUGGUAUUUGGAAAGUGGUUGUAGCAACCAUAUGACAAGAGAUAAAGAAGUUUUUCUCGACAUAAACUCCACAUUUCGCUCAAAAGUCAAAUUGGAUAAUGGUAAAUAUGUUGAAGUUCAAGGCAAAGACAACAUUGGGGUCGAAACGAGGCAAUGAAGCAAGGUAAUCCAUAAUACACUUUAUGUGCCAGCAUUAGAUGAAAAUUUGUUGAGCAUUGGGCAACUUUUGGAGCAUGAUUAUUCUCUAUCCUUUGAGAAUCAAGAGUGCAAAAUCCUUGUUUCAAAAGGAAAAAUUGUUGUUAUAAUCAAAAUGACCAAUAAUAAAAGCUUUCACUUAUUUUUUUUCAAUACCAGAAAAGUAUCAACUUGAUAGUCAAAGAAGAAAAUGACUCUUGUUUGUGGCACAAGAGACUUGGGCACUUGAACUACAAAGGUCUCAAGUUACUUGCUCAAAAGAAUACUGUGCACGGGCUGCCAACAGUUAAAGAAAAAUCAGGUGUUUGAAGGUUGUAUGCUUAGCAAACAACACCAUCAACCACUUCCAAAGGAAGGAGCAUGGAGAGGCAAAGAAGUGCUAGAAUUGGCUUACACUGAUGUGUGUGGUCCUAAGAAAACUUUUUCUCAUGCUCAAAAUAGGUAUUUAUUCAUUGAUGAUUUAGGUAGUAUGAUAUGGGUGCAUUUUAUGAGACAAAAUUUAAAGUAUUCUCAAGAUUUUAAAAGUAUUAGAGAGAGAUAAAGUUAAACAUCUCCAUGAGGCAUAAAAUCGACAAUAGAUUGUAUUCAAUUCUUGGACUAAACUUCCUAGGACUUUGGUCAUUUGAUUGAUACACUUAGGCCACCUAUGUUAGGAAAUUAUUGAUGUCAUGUUCAAGUCAAGAAAAAAAAGCGAAAAAAAAAGUUUUUCAAGGUUUUUCAUUUUAUCAAAAUUUCACAUUAUAUUAUUUUUUCUAUUCGAAGAUUAAGUUUCUAUAUAUUUUUAAAAUAAAAAAAUUCAAAAUAAUUAUUGAGUAAUAGUUUAAAAAAUGUUAAUUUUGAGAGGAAUUUAAAUGAAAAAUAUUAUAUUAAUUUAAAUUACAACACUUAGUUGAAUUUAUGUCAACUUAAUUUUUUUUAUCAUCAUCACGAAGGUGACAUUAGUUCAAAUGAGCAAAAUACGAAUGGUGUUAAAUACUAUUUUUUGUUUAGUGGGUUUUAGAGGUAUGUUAAGGAAUAUUUAAAUAAAAAUUAAAUUUUUAACUUUUCUUAGAAAUAGAAUUAAAGUGGUAAAAUUUGUAAAUUUGAGAGUUAAAUUAUUGAAUUUAGAAUUCAAACUAAAAUGAUAAAUUUUGUAAAUAUUAAUGACAAAAUUUAUUGAAUUUUUAAAUUUAAAAUUAAAUUGAUAGAAUAUGUAAUUAUUAUAGAAUUAAAUUUUUUAUUAUGCCAAUAAAAAUGAUACACUUUAACUUUUUCGUAAUUAACGGGAGAGUAAUUAAAAUAUUUAAUUUGAAAAAAUUAAAAAAUUGAGUGACCAAAAGACAUGAUUAAGUAAUUAUUUUUGUAGUUAAACCAUUUAACGAUACAAAUAAAAAAAAUUAAAUUAAGCCUAUUCUUAAUCCCUAAAUUCCUAAAAUGAAAACACGCUUAGUCGGUCCCUCACCCUCCUCCUAGACAGAUCACCCUUCACCGUCGGUUCAUCUUAUCUCUGACCUCAACCGGCGCCGUUCAGGCAGAACUCACUCUCUCCACUCGAUUCACAGCCGGCAGCCUCUACAACCCACCCCUCACAGCCUCUUUCCGUCGCUCAACUCAGCCCUUGCAAUCGGUAGUCAGUCGCGCAACUCGCAAGCAGUGCAAUCGGUAGUCAGUCGCGCAGCUCGCAAGCAGUGCAAUCGGUAGUCAGUUGCGCAGCUCGCAAGCAGCAAGCUCGUCGCCUCCGUCUCACACCCUGAGGUUUCUGCAAAUUUAUUAAUCGGUUCAUUUGAAAUCUGUUGAUUGUUUAAAUUUCAUAAUACAGAUCGUUGAAUAUAUUCUGCUGGAAAAAUGCACCCUCCUCUUACUUUACACAGGCAUCCAAUGUGUGCUGAAGUAAGUACGAACUUGGUGUUGAAUCUAAUAUUUUUAGCUGUUGGAUUGGAAGGAAAGUUUGGUUCUUGUUAAAUUAAUCAUAUGACUUUAUCUUUUGGCAGAUCAUCGAGGAGUUCCAAAAGUGUCAUUUAGAGCAUCCAAUAGCUAAAUUCUUCGGUGAAUGUACAGAAUUAAAGAUAAAGCUCGAUCGCUGUUUCCGACAGGAAGUGAGUUAUUCUCAGCUCUAGGUGGAAUUCAGUUUCUAAUAUCAUUGUCGUGACUCUGUUUGAAACACGAUGUUUUUAUUUGGCAGAAAGCUUUGAAGAGGAAGGCCAAUUUUGAACAGAGUAAGAAACUGAAAGAAAGACUUCAGGCGUUAAGGAAGGAAACUGCUGAAAGCGAUUCAUGAAUCUGUUUUACGAUGCUGUGGUUGGUUGGGCCACAGUUAUUUGCUUGGUGCUACAAAAAAUUGUUUACUUGUUUCCGUUGCCUACUUGAGAAUGAUAUAUGAUGAACAAAGAUUGUGGUUCCUUCUUGAUUUUACAUAAAGAAACUUUGAUUGUAUACCUAUGUACUUGGACUGCUGAAAAUCUUAAAUAACAAUUACCUUAACUUUAUUUUUCCGCAUCGAGCUCAAUUAUCAUAACCUGAAGUUUUUUAAAUGUUUGACCUCUAACGGUGAUCCUCUUAGAUGACAAUAAAAACCUUUAAGGUAGUCGCCGUUGUGUUUAAACUGAAAUCUUUGCUAAUAUUAAGUUUUCUCUAAAUACUUCCCUUACUAGUCUCCUCUCAUCUAGGUUCACACCUCAAAAGCUAGAACCACUUGUUUUCUGCACGAGGUAAUGGGCGAUCAAGCAAAUGGAGGACGACUAGGUUGCCAAAACAAUGAUUUUUAUCAUUAGUGAUAGAAGAAAGGGUUUAUUAAUGAAACAAAAAAGAGGAAGAAAUAUGACCAAAUCUUGCUAGUUUUCUGUAUAUAAAACUCUGAUCCUGCUAGUUUGAUGUGAGUGUCCCAAGCAAUAGGGCUUUGUUUAACAGUGAUGGAAUCAAUGUGUUUGAAUUAGCUUUAUCUAGUAUUUAACAGCAAGUUUUCCUCAGUAGCUAGUCUUCUUAUCUGCAAAUUCUCUUAAAAAUCAAAAUAAUUUAAUAGCAAAACCGAAAAAGUAUAACUAAGAAAAGCUUGAAGUUCGAUCCCAAUAGCAGAGCUAGUUCUAUGUUUCUAAGUACUAAAUACAAGUAUGAACUCCAUUAAUUCAAGCUUUUUCCUUUUUCUGUCAAUUCAUGUUUGCUUCUGAUUCUUAAAGUCCUUAACAUAGGUGCUAUAUUCUUCUUUGUACUUGGGGCUGCUGUGAUAUGUUGUAAGGCUUUUUCUGCUGUUGAAAUCUUUGAUAAAGUGCCUCAUUUUCUUCUCAGAAUCAAAAACUGAAUCCAGAUGUUCAUGAAAAAGGCAUUUGAUUGCUUCUGGCAUGGUUUGAUCCUUCAUUACACUGUUUCAAUAGUCCCCCUGGUUCUCUUAUUGCUUAAGGCUUGCGGACUACCCAAGAAAAGAUGAGUGUAUAAACAUCGAUAAAACACGGUCAGAAACAAACAUAAUUGAAUGAAAACCAAUAUUAUGGAUUAUUUUGAACAAAUUUCAUAGAAAAACAUACAGAAACUGGUUUUUAGAUAGUCAGUUGCUGCUCUAAGAUUAUAUGUGAAGUAAUGGUUACCAGAAAGCAGAAAAUGAAGAAUCUUCAUGUCUUUUACACAUUAGUAUGAAGAGAAGGGAUUGGAUCAUACCAUUAAUAGAGUUUGGAAGACCAUGACUGAUGCUUAAAAUGGAGUGCAUCGAAAAAAAGUGUAUGUUAUAUCAAUUCUAAGAUUUGAACUUUUGGUACUAAAGAGAGGAAAAAGGAAAAUGAAUUUGAACUGGGUAUUGGGUGGAGCGAAGGACUGAAGGAUUUAAAGAAAAGUUUAUGGGAGCAAAAACCAACUUAUCCUAUAACAUAAGUCAAUUGGAGAGCAAAAGAUGGGAUGUUCCCAAAUCUUACCCAACUCUACUUGAUCAAUCAAUUCAAUUUUACUUGAAGAGCCACUCCAAUUAGAACAAUGGACUCUGCCAUCCAUUCCCCAACCGGUUUAUUAAUUUCAAUUAAGAUUGUUUUGACUGAUUUUGCUAUGCGACUGUACACCGUGCAAUGGAUAAGGGGAUCAUAAGAAGCAGUGUUAGUAUCCUUUAACUGGAUUGGAAGCGUGCACUGUUUCAUAUUGUUGUACUAAGUUUUGAAUUUUGGAAGGAAAGAUACAAAUGCAUUGUUGAUGAAAUACAAGGAAAUGCAUGUUUUGAGUUUCAAAUGGACCAAUCUCUCUUACCUUGAUGAUUUAUUGGUAUUAUCAAGCCAACUCUGUCUGAAGAAAGAAAUGCCACCUUCAACAACCCCUCAUCUCUUUUCACCCCCAGACUUUGUGAUUCAACUACAUACUCAAUUUUACCAUUACCAAAUUUCAUAAUUUAAGAUUUAAGAUAAGUUUUGCAAGCAAUUAUAUUAUACCAAUGCAAAUGAAUACAUCCUAAUGCCUCGAGGGAAAAACUUAUUUAUUAUAUAUGUAUUACAAUAGUUAGACAUAAAAUAAAAAAUAAUUAGUAAAAUUUUAAAAUAAAAAUUAAAAAUAUGAGUAAUAAUUCUUGUAAAAUAUAACACCUCUUCAAAAGAAGCAAGAAUAUUUCCUUCUCUUUGCUACAAAUAUAUAAGUCAUGAGAGUGACUAAAUUUUAUCAAUUAAAUUAAUUUAUUGUUAACACAUAAUUAUACUACAAAAACAAAAAUAAGGAUUAUCUAACCCAUAGCCCCUGGUUUUGCCCAACACAAAAUUCACUGUGCUUUUGUAAGUUAUAAGGUUUUUAUGUGCACCAUUAAUUUAUAUAAAUAGAAUUAGUUAUAUAGGAGCCUUCUUACUUUGUUGUUCAAUGACUGUAAUGUUUCUACAGGAUGGUAAUUGUUGACUUCCCCUUUCUAAACAAACGAAAAAAAAUUUGAUAUCUAAUCUAAAAUCAACUGUUUAUAAAAUUAAUAAAAACUCUUAACAAAGUUAAGGUAGAUGUUUUAUUUUAUUUAGUAUUUCUUCUAGAUGUAUUUUGCAUUGUUUUUUUCUUCUAUUUUAUGGUAAUUUCAACCAAUUUAGUAUCAAAAUUAAAUAUUAUGUUGUCUAAUAAAUAUUUGACAUUGAGAUAAAAGAAAAACUCAAAUACUAAAUUCAAUCAAAAAGAAAAUUAGAAAAAUUCCGUCCAACUUAAAAAGGUAAAAGAUACAAGUACAAAAUAAAUAACGGUAUAACCGGAACACACUCAUGUAUAGAUUUGAAAAAGACAAUAAUAUCCUUAACGUGACCUUAUCAACCCUAAUCUUCUCCCGAUUACUAAACUUUUACCCCCAAAUCUUUCCCCAAAACGAAUUGAAGAAGAUUACUUUCUUCUCUUUGGAUCUUUCCACUAACCUUCUUCAAAUCUAUUUAAGGUCAGUUAAAAAUCAUUCUAUGAGAAAAGAUUUUGAUAUUCUUGUUGCUAAAUGAUUGGUCAUUAGCUUUAUCUUUUUCAUCUUUAUUUCCCCUGUUUUUUCUUUUUGGUUGAAAGUUCCUUUCUUUGGACGUAAUUUUGUUUUGGUUUUGUUGUUAUUGGCAUGGGAGUCUUAAUAACGGGAAAAGGUUAGAAUGAUUUCCUUAUUUCAAUUUUUCUUUACAUUUUCAAAAGUUCUUAUUUUUUCUUGGUGCUUGAAAGUAGCUAUCAAAGUGGCAUGGUAGUUUUUUUCUCUUAUUUUCUUUCUGGAUUUUCCUCUUAUAAACUUUCGUAGAGUGAAUUUGAGCUCAAAAGGAUACAUGCGAAAUAAAAUAAAAUAAAAAUUAUUAUUUGAAAUUAUGAGGACAAUUUCCAUUGUGAUCACUGUAGUAAAAUGUAAGCUGUUCAAAAGUUUGAAUUUUUACAUUAUAUAAGCAUUUUAUUUUGGUAGAUGAGUUUAGAACCUGGUUUUAACAGAUUAUUACUAGUAUUUGUUUCUUGUUUAGAAGUAAAUUGCUGCUUGCAAAUAUGAAGAUUGGGUGUUUAGCAAUUAGCUUAUCUUUAGGAAGGAUGGCAUAGUUUCGUUUAUUCAGUUAAGAUAAUAAUUUGAAGUAUAUCUAGGAUACUCCUUUGUCUCCUAGCAAUACAGUUAUACUGUUAUGUAUGUUUCCAAUGAAUUAGGUAUUGCUUAUUUCAUGCUUUGGUUGUUUGUACAUAUGGUCAGAUGUGAACCAUUUGAAUCAUAUCUUCUCAAUUUUCACUAUUCAUGAAAUUUCACUUUAAGCAGUUGACGGUAUUAGUUUACUUCUGUUAAUGUCAAAUGUUCAUUUUGUUAUAGUUAUUCUUCACAGCGCUCAUUUGGAGCUCCCUGAAUGGUUUGUUCAUUGGCUUCAAAAUUGUUGGCCCUCUUAACUUCUUUACCUGACUGAAAAAAGUUAGCUCUCUUGCCUUCUUGGGUAAGACAAUGGUAAGUUGGUCAUUGCAUGGAAUGAAGUCAUAAUUUGUAUUGGUUGCCCCAUGGAAGACCACACUUUUGCUGUUGGUCAGGAGUUCCCUGAUGUCAAGGCCUUCCGUAAUGCUAUUAAGGAAGCUGCCAUUGCACAGCACUUUGAGCUGCGUAUUAUAAAGAGUGACCUUAUCCGUUACUUUGCCAAGUGCGCCACAGAAGGAUGUCCAUGGCGUAUUUGUGCAGUUAAGCUUCCCAAUUCUCCAACUUUCACAAUUAGAAGUCUUGAAGGAGCACAUACUUGUGGGAAAAAUGCACAAAAUGGGCACCAUCAAGCUUCUGUGGAUUGGAUUGUGAGUUUUAUAGAGGAACGACUACGGGAUAACAUCAAUUACAAGCCAAAGGAUAUAUUGCAUGACAUUCAUAAACAAUAUGGGAUCAUCAUACCAUACAAGCAAGCUUGGCGUGCAAAGGAACGGGGACUUGCUGCUAUUUAUGGCUCUUCAGAAGAAGGAUACUGCAUGCUUCCCACAUUUUGUGAGGAAAUAAAGAAAACAAACCCUGGAAGUAUUGCAGAGUUAUUCACCACUGGUGCAGAUAACCGUUUCCAGCGGCUAUUUGUUUCCUUUCAUGCAUCCAUAUGUGGAUUCUUGAGUGGAUGCUUGCCUAUUGUUGGGCUUGGUGGAAUCCAGCUUAAAAGCAAAUACCUCGGUACUUUGCUUUCAGCAACUGCUUUUGAUGCUGAUGGUGGUUUAUUUCCUCUUGCAUUUGGCGUUGUUGAUACAGAAAAUGAUGAUAGCUGGAUCUGGUUCUUAUCAGAGUUGCAUAAGGCUUUGGAGAUGAAUUCUGAGAAAAUGCCACAGCUCACUUUUCUAUCAGAUGGUCAAAAAGGCACUUUAGAUGCAAUAAGGAGAAAGUUCCCAAAUUCUCGUCAUGCCUUUUGCAUGAGCUAUCUUAGUGAAAGCAUUAGCAAAGAGUUCAAGAACUCAAGGCUUUUCCAUCUUCUCUGGAAAGCUGCAUAUGCUACAACUACGACUGUUUUUAAAGAGAAAAUGGCUGAAAUAGAGGAGGCUUCUCCUGAAGCUGCAAAGUGGAUACAGAAAUUUCCACCUUCCCGCUGGGCAUUGUUGUAUUUCGAAGGGACACGUUAUGGGCACCUCUCAUCAAACAUUGAGGAAUUUAAUCGGUGGAUUCUUGAUGCUUUAGAGUUACCCAUAAUACAGGUGGUUGAGCAAAUUCACAACAAAUUGAUGUCUGAGUUUGAGGACCGUCGAACUAGAAGUCAUUCUUGGUUUUCUGUACUAGCCCCUAGUGCUGAGACACGCAUGCAAGAAGUUAUCAGCCGUGCAUCAACAUAUCAAGUUCUGCGGUCAGAUGAAGUAGAAUUUGAGGUUAUAUCAGCUGAACGAUCAGACAUUGUGAAUAUUGGGAAACACUCUUGUUCAUGUCGUGAUUGGCAACUUUAUGGAAUACCUUGUGCACAUGCUGCGGCAGCAAUCAUGUCAUGCCGAAAAGAUGUAUAUGCUUUCGCAGAGAAAUGCUUUACAGUUGCCAGUUAUCAUGAGGCAUAUUCAGAAGAGAUAUACCCCAUUCCUCAGAAGAUUGACUGGAACAAGUUCGAUGAGGCGCCUAGUACUUUGAAUGAGGAUGCUCAAGUCGUGCGACCGCCCAAGUUUCGUCGGCCUCCAGGACGCCCUGAAAAGAAACGGAUAUGCGUAGGGGAGCUUAAUCGUGAGAAACACACGGUGCAUUGUAGCAGAUGUAACCAGACCGGUCACUAUAAAACAACUUGCAAAGCAGAUAUUAUGAAGGGUAUUGAUUCUAGCCUUGUAGGAUCUAAUUUUGUACUUAAGUAGAUUGUAGAUUAUGAAUAUGGUACUAGCGUGGCCAUAUUUAAUUCUGCACCCAAUGUGAAAUAGGAAAUCUCCAUUGUAUCUCUCAGUAUGUAUGUAUGUAUGUAUAACUGGAUUCAAGUUCGUAUGGCUCUGGCUUUAGUUUUGCAACUUUUGCUCUUGAUGAGAAAUUCAGUUGGGCCUUUUAUUGCACUCAAAUACAUCCAGUAGAAGGUGUCUUCUGGAUCCUUGUUGAAUUUAUUAACAAAAUUUAAAACUUUUAUAUAUUUUGAACUAUCACCACUGCAUAUUUAAAGAUAAAAAGUUAAAAAUAAAAAUAUGAACUUAAAGGUUAAAAAUGCUUUUAGCAAAAAGUCAAUUGAGUUUUUAUGAAAAAAAAUACAACCAAAUGACUUUUUUUUUUUAACCAAAACUGUCAAUUAACUGAAAAAGUCACCAAAAAUUGCUACGUUUCAUUACGUGAAGUAGGCAGUGGCUGGAAGAGUAAAGCAUGGGAGUAGCUCUUGAAACUUUCUGUUGAGUUGUAGGUCAAGUUUGUAUUUCCUUGUACUGUACAGCCACCUAAUCCUAUAUUUUAAGAAGUUGCAGAUGGAGAUGGAGGUGAAGAAGAGGUGGUGGGUUUAAACCUUAAUUGACAGAUAUGAAUAUGAAUCCCCUGCUUCAAGAGCUAUUCCCAUGCUUUACUCUUCCCUUGUUUCAUUACAAAGUUUGUUCAUCCUAGUCAUCACUUGCACUGAACCGCGGGUCAUGGCUCCAAAUUUUGUUGUUUGCAUCAUCAAUCACGGGAGUUGUCCUGGGUCAUUGAUGGAUCUUGUUUGCAGAGCAGGAGCUCCAAAAUCACUCAUAAGUAUACUUAUUUGCCAAAAUACUAUCCCUCCAUAAUUUUGUAUAUAUUGCUAUCUUUCUAUACGAAAAGGCGUGAAGAGACAUGGAGAA